AACAAGCUUCCCGUCCGGUCCAGUUCUCAAUUCACUCAUACCAGUUACAGGUAAGCCAACUCCA
Molecule: small RNA, 64 nt
Filed under: Arabidopsis thaliana (thale cress)
Lineage: Eukaryota; Viridiplantae; Streptophyta; Magnoliopsida; Brassicales; Brassicaceae
Description: ATSL305940
Source: RNAcentral